UACAGAGGUCCCGAGCGUUGUUCGGAUUCAUUGGGCGUAAAGGGCGCGUAGGCGGCGUGGCAAGUCUGAUGUGAAAUCCCGGGGCUCAACCCCGGAACUGCAUUGGAUACUGCCUUGCUUGAGUACUGGAGAGGGAACUGGAAUUUACGGUGUAGCAGUGAAAUGCGUAGAGAUCGUAAGGAAGGCCAGUGGCGAAGGCGAGUUCCUGGACAGUUACUGACGCUGAGGCACGAAGGCCAGGGGAGCAAACGGG
This 253-nucleotide ribosomal RNA is filed under the name uncultured bacterium. RNAcentral's name for it is "partial 16S ribosomal RNA". It matches the Rfam family "Bacterial small subunit ribosomal RNA", at positions 524 to 776 of the family's 1533-position model. The record is from RNAcentral.